This 122-nucleotide small nucleolar RNA is filed under the name Echinops telfairi (small Madagascar hedgehog). RNAcentral's name for it is "Small nucleolar RNA SNORA61 (ENSETEG00000025334.1)". Lineage: Eukaryota; Metazoa; Chordata; Mammalia; Afrosoricida; Tenrecidae. The record is from RNAcentral.
ACCAUCCAGAUUCCUUCUGCCUCAGAUCUCAACAUUUUGUCUGGGUGGCUGACAAAGGGAGGAAAGGUAAACUGAAGUGAGCUUGGAGACUUUGGUGACAGACAGGUUCAUUUCAAACAUAC